CAGGGGUCCGCCCCCGCCCGUUUCCCGCCCUCGGCGGCUCUGAGGGGCCGUGAGGGGAGCGGGGGGGGGGCGGAUCUGAGGGUUCCUCGUCACGGAGAUGCUCCAGUCCCUUCAUCGCCCUCGCAGCCUCCACUGGACCCGCUCCAUGUCCCUCCUGUCCUGAGGAGCCCGGAACUGGACGCAGAUUCCAUAGUGUUUCAUCUGGGGCUGGCUCUCGGUGUUGCACACUCUGACUCUCCAGCUUCCCACAGCCCAGGCCCAGCAGCAGCAGACAAGGGUGAGGCAGCAGCUGGAGAAACCCCUGGACAAUGCUCGGACACCCUCGUGGCGUUUUUUUUGGUUUUGAGGUCUCCACCCAGGCAGUGAACUCCACGUGACCCCUCCCAACAGCACUACUGGUUUGUUUAAUCAGCGAUUAAACUGGAAUUUUACUUCCAUUUCCAAACA
This is a long non-coding RNA of Pseudopipra pipra, 447 nucleotides long. RefSeq lists it as uncharacterized. The transcript has 2 exons. The record is from RefSeq and is a predicted model, not a curated record. NCBI's taxonomy places the organism in Eukaryota, Metazoa, Chordata, Aves, Passeriformes, Pipridae.